Ribosomal RNA from Oreochromis aureus, 107 nucleotides. Lineage: Eukaryota; Metazoa; Chordata; Actinopteri; Cichliformes; Cichlidae. The record is from Ensembl.
GCUUACGGCCAUACCACCCUGAACACGCCCGGUCUCGUCUGAUCUCGGAAGCCAAACAGGGUCGGGCCUGGUCAGUAUUUGGAUGGGAAUACUGGGAGCUGUAGGCU